RNAcentral lists this microRNA precursor (60 nucleotides) under Procavia capensis (Cape rock hyrax). RNAcentral describes it as "miRNA (ENSPCAG00000019207.1)". The record is from RNAcentral. Lineage: Eukaryota; Metazoa; Chordata; Mammalia; Hyracoidea; Procaviidae.
CUGAGGCAGCUGGGCUGGGCUGGGCUGGGGAGGUGGUGGCACAGCGGGGGCUGCAGGCCU